UAGUCCACACCGUAAACGAUGUCAACUAGCCGUUGGGAGCAUUUAAGCUCUGAGUGGCGCAGCUAACGCGAUAAGUUGACCGCCUGGGGAGUACGCCGGCAACGGUAAAACUCAAAGGAAUUGACGGGGGCCCGCACAAGCGGUGGAGCAUGUGGUUUAAUUCGAUGCAACGCGAAAAACCUUACCUACCCUUGACAUCAUUGGAACUUGUUAGAGAUAACUUGGUGCCUUCGGGAACUCUGAGACAGGUGCUGCAUGGCUGUCGUCAGCUCGUGUUGUGAAAUGUUGGGUUAAGUCCCGCAACGAGCGCAACCCUUAUCCUUGUUUGCCAGCGAGUCAUGUCGGGAACUCCAGGGAGACUGCCGGUGAUAAACCGGGAGGAA
This 383-nucleotide ribosomal RNA is filed under the name uncultured bacterium. Its description in RNAcentral is "bacterial SSU rRNA". It matches the Rfam family "Bacterial small subunit ribosomal RNA", at positions 791 to 1171 of the family's 1533-position model. The record is from RNAcentral.